AGCGAAGCGGACGACCCUUCGGGGAGCUUACACAGGUGCUGCAUGGCUGUCGUCAGCUCGUGUCGUGAGAUGUUGGGUUAAGUCCCGCAACGAGCGCAACCCUCGUCGUUAGUUACACGUGUCUAACGAUACUGCCGGUACCAAACCGGAGGAAGGUGGGGAUGACGUCAAGUCAGCAUGGCCUUUAUAUCCAGGGCUACACACACGCUACAAUGGCAGGUACAAUGGGCAGCCAAAGGGAGACCUGGAGCGAAUCCUAUCAAAGCCUGUCGUAGUUCAGAUUGUAGGCUGCAACCCGCCUACAUGAAGCUGGAGUUGCUAGUAAACGCAGGUCAGCCAUACUGCGUUGAAUACGUUCCCGGGCCUUGUACACACCGCCCGUCACGUCAUGGGAGUUGGUAACACCUGAAGUCGGUGACCUAACCGCAAGGGAGGAGCUGCCUAGGGUGGGGCUGAUGACUGGGA
This 465-nucleotide ribosomal RNA is filed under the name uncultured bacterium. RNAcentral's name for it is "bacterial SSU rRNA". It matches the Rfam family "Bacterial small subunit ribosomal RNA", at positions 1002 to 1480 of the family's 1533-position model. The record is from RNAcentral.